GAUGAAGAACGCAGCGAAAUGCGAUACGUAAUGUGAAUUGCAGAAUUCAGUGAAUCAUCGAGUCUUUGAACGCACAUUGCGCCCCCUGGUAUUCCGGGGGGCAUGCCUGUCCGAGCGUCAUUGCUGCCCUCAAGCACGGCUUGUGUGUUGGGUCUCGUCCCCCUUCCCGGGGGGACGGGCCCGAAAGGCAGCGGCGGCACCGCGUCCGGUCCUCGAGCGUAUGGGGCUUUGUCACCCGCUCUGUAGGCCCGGCCGGCGCUUGCCGAUCAACCAAAACUUUUUUCCAGGUUGACCUCGGAUCAGGUAGGGAUACCCGCUGAACUUAAGCAUAUCAAUAAGCGGAGGA
This 346-nucleotide unclassified non-coding RNA is filed under the name soil metagenome. RNAcentral describes it as "partial contains 5.8S ribosomal RNA, internal transcribed spacer 2, and large subunit ribosomal RNA". The stretch from base 1 to 120 matches the Rfam family "5.8S ribosomal RNA", at positions 35 to 154 of the family's 154-position model. The record is from RNAcentral.